Molecule: ribosomal RNA, 434 nt
Filed under: uncultured Lachnospiraceae bacterium
Lineage: Bacteria; Bacillati; Bacillota; Clostridia; Lachnospirales; Lachnospiraceae
Description: partial 16S ribosomal RNA
Rfam family: Bacterial small subunit ribosomal RNA
Source: RNAcentral
ACGGGAGGCAGCAGUGGGGAAUAUUGCACAAUGGGCGAAAGCCUGAUGCAGCGACGCCGCGUGAGUGAAGAAGUAUCUCGGUAUGUAAAGCUCUAUCAGCAGGGAAGAAAAUGACGGUACCUGACUAAGAAGCCCCGGCUAACUACGUGCCAGCAGCCGCGGUAAUACGUAGGGGGCAAGCGUUAUCCGGAUUUACUGGGUGUAAAGGGAGCGUAGACGGCACAGCAAGUCUGAAGUGAAAUGUAGGGGCUUAACCCCUGAACUGCUUUGGAAACUGUUGGGCUUGAGUACCGGAGGGGCAGGCGGAAUUCCUGGUGUAGCGGUGAAAUGCGUAGAUAUCAGGAAGAACACCGGUGGCGAAGGCGGCCUGCUGGACGGUAACUGACGUUGAUGCUCGAAAGCGUGGGGAGCAAACAGGAUUAGAUACCCUGGUA